UCCUGUGGGUUAGUAGUCUAAUGGACUGUUCCUGUGGGUUAGUAGUCUAAUGGACUGUUCCUGUGGGUUAGUAGUCUAAUGGACUGUUCCUGUGGGUUAGUAGUCUAAUGGACUGUUCCUGUGUGUUAGUAGUCUAAUGGACUGUUCCUAUGUGUUAGUAGUCUAAUGGACUGUUCCUAUGUGUUAGUAGUCUAAUGGACUGUUCCUAUGUGUUAGUAGUCUAAUGGACAGUUCCUGUGUGUUAGUAGUCUAAUGGACAGUUCCUGUGUGUUAGUAGUCUAAUGGACUGUUCCUGUGUGUUAGUAGUCUAAUGGACUGUUCCUAUGUGUUAAUGUCUGUAGUCUAAUGGACUGUUCCUGUGGGUUAGUAGUCUAAUGGACUGUUCCUAUGUGUUAGUAGUCUAAUGGACUGUUCCUGUGUGUUAGUAGUCUAAUGGACUGUUCUUAUGUGUUAGUAGUCUAAUGGACUGUUCCUAUGUGUUAGUAGUCUAAUGGACUGUUCCUGUGUGUUAGUAGUCUAAUGGACUGUUCCUAUGUGUUAAUGUCUGUAGUCUAAUGGACAGUUCCUGUGUGUUAGUAGUCUAAUGGACUGUUCUUAUGUGUUAGUAGUCUAAUGGACUGUUCCUAUGUGUUAGUAGUCUAAUGGACUGUUCCUAUGUGUUAGUAGUCUAAUGGACUGUUCCUAUGUGUUAGUAGUCUAAUGGACUGUUCCUGUGUGUUAGUAGUCUAAUGGACUGUUCCUGUGUGUUAGUAGUCUAAUGGACUGUUCCUGUGUGUUAGUAGUCUUUUUAUUUUAUUUAUUUAUUUUACCUUUAUUUAACUAGGCAAGUCAGUUAAUAACAAAUUCUUAUUUUCAAUGAUGGCCUAGGAACAGUGGGUUAACUGCCUUGUUCAGUGGUAGAAUGACAGAUUUGUACCUUGUCAACUCGGGGAUUUGAACUUGCAGCCUUCGGUUACUAGUCCAACGCUCUAACCACUAGGGUACCCUGCCACCCCACUCUAAUGGACUGUUCCUGUGUGUUAGUAGUCUAAUGGACUGUUCCUGUGUGUUAGUAGUCUAAUGGACUGUUCCUGUGUGUCUGUAGUCUAAUGGACUGUUCCUGUGUGUUAGUAGUCUAAUGGACUGUCCCUGUGUGUUAGUAGUCUAAUGGACUGUUCCUACAUGUUGAUGACAGGAGGAAGCGCAAGCGGGCAGAGAGAGAGUAUGAGAAAGUAAAAAUCAAGUUGGAGAAUCUGCAGGAGAGCGUGGGAGACCGCUGGAAGGUGGAACUCACAGUGUGUGAGCCUACAUGUCAGCCCUGACGAAGGAAGCGAACAUGCCGUCUUCGUUCUCCAGAAGGGUCUCUGGUUUGUCGAUCUCCAAGAUGUUCCCUCGCUUCAUCACGAUCACCAGGUCAGCUUCCAGGAUGGUGUGGACACGAUGCUGCAUGAAGAACACACACACAGACGCACGCACACAGACAUUACAUUUGACUGAGUGUUGAAUUACACAAACAAAGAGGAAGGGAUUGUCACGUUCCUGACCUGUUUUCUGUUAGUUUUUGUAUGUGUUAGUUGGUCAGGACGUGAGUUUGGGUGGGCAGUCUAUGUUUUCUGUUUUUAUGUUGGUUUAAAGGGUGACCUGAUAUGGCUCUCAAUUAGAGGCAGGUGGUUUUCAUUUCCUCUGAUUGAGAGUCAUAUUAAGGUAGGUGUUUUCACACUGUUUGUUGUGGGUGGUUGUCUUCUGUGUCUGUGUAUGUUGCGCCACACAGGACUGUUUCGGUAUGUUUGUUUGUUCGGUUUUUGUGUUGUCUGUUUUCCCUGUUCGUGCGUUCUUCGUGUUACAUGUAAGUUCUUACGUUCAGGUCAGUCUACGUUCUUUUGUUAUUUUGUAAUCCUUCCAAGUGUUUGUUUUCGUGUUUCGUCGUUUGCUUUAAUAAAUCAUUAUGUAUUCACAA
Salvelinus fontinalis (brook trout) is the source of this 1936-nucleotide long non-coding RNA. RefSeq lists it as uncharacterized. The transcript has 2 exons. Lineage: Eukaryota; Metazoa; Chordata; Actinopteri; Salmoniformes; Salmonidae. The record is from RefSeq and is a predicted model, not a curated record.